RNAcentral lists this ribosomal RNA (1218 nucleotides) under Pseudomonas sp. GmFRB019. Its description in RNAcentral is "bacterial SSU rRNA". It matches the Rfam family "Bacterial small subunit ribosomal RNA", at positions 109 to 1322 of the family's 1533-position model. The record is from RNAcentral. Lineage: Bacteria; Pseudomonadati; Pseudomonadota; Gammaproteobacteria; Pseudomonadales; Pseudomonadaceae.
AGUAAUGCCUAGGAAUCUGCCUGGUAGUGGGGGAUAACGUUCGGAAACGAACGCUAAUACCGCAUACGUCCUACGGGAGAAAGCAGGGGACCUUCGGGCCUUGCGCUAUCAGAUGAGCCUAGGUCGGAUUAGCUAGUUGGUGAGGUAAUGGCUCACCAAGGCGACGAUCCGUAACUGGUCUGAGAGGAUGAUCAGUCACACUGGAACUGAGACACGGUCCAGACUCCUACGGGAGGCAGCAGUGGGGAAUAUUGGACAAUGGGCGAAAGCCUGAUCCAGCCAUGCCGCGUGUGUGAAGAAGGUCUUCGGAUUGUAAAGCACUUUAAGUUGGGAGGAAGGGCCAUUACCUAAUACGUGAUGGUUUUGACGUUACCGACAGAAUAAGCACCGGCUAACUCUGUGCCAGCAGCCGCGGUAAUACAGAGGGUGCAAGCGUUAAUCGGAAUUACUGGGCGUAAAGCGCGCGUAGGUGGUUCGUUAAGUUGGAUGUGAAAUCCGCGGGCUCAACCUGGGAACUGCAUUCAAAACUGUCGAGCUAGAGUAUGGUAGAGGGUGGUGGAAUUUCCCUGUGUAGCGGUGAAAUGCGUAGAUAUAGGAAGGAACACCAGUGGCGAAGGCGACCACCUGGACUGAUACUGACACUGAGGUGCGAAAGCGUGGAGAGCAAACAGGAUUAGAUACCCUGGUAGUCCACGCCGUAAACGAUGUCAACUAGCCGUUGGGAGCCUUGAGCUCUUAGUGGCGCAGCUAACGCAUUAAGUUGACCGCCUGGGGAGUACGGCCGCAAGGUUAAAACUCAAAUGAAUUGACGGGGGCCCGCACACGCGGUGGAGCAUGUGGUUUAAUUCGAAGCAACGCGAAGAACCUUACCAGGCCUUGACAUCCAAUGAACUUUCCAGAGAUGGAUUGGUGCCUUCGGGAACAUUGAGACAGGUGCUGCAUGGCUGUCGUCAGCUCGUGUCCUGAGAUGUUGGGUUAAGUCCCGUAACGAGCGCAACCCUUGUCCUUAGUUACCAGCACGUAAUGGUGGGCACUCUAAGGAGACUGCCGGUGACAAACCGGAGGAAGGUGGGGAUGACGUCAAGUCAUCAUGGCCCUUACGGCCUGGGCUACACACGUGCUACAAUGGUCGGUACAGAGGGUUGCCAAGCCGCGAGGUGGAGCUAAUCCCAUAAAACCGAUCGUAGUCCGGAUCGCAGUCUGCAACUCGACUGCGUG